This 2629-nucleotide small RNA is filed under the name Pongo abelii (Sumatran orangutan). Its description in RNAcentral is "retained intron". The record is from RNAcentral. Lineage: Eukaryota; Metazoa; Chordata; Mammalia; Primates; Hominidae.
GCCUGCUCCAAGGGAAGGAUCAGGAGAGAAGAAAUGCAAAUCCCAGAACCGUGCCAAUAUAUAAAACCCCACAUUAAGGGUUGUACAGUGCACUUGGAUUUCUCAAGUCACCCGCUUGGUCCUCUUCCAAGUAUACUUUACUUCCUUUCAUUCCUCUCUAAAACUUUUUUAAAAACUUUCACUCCUGCUCUAAAAGUUAUCUUGGUUUCUUACUCUGCCUUAUGCCCCUUGGGUGAAUUUUUUCCUCUGAGGAGGGAAGAAUAGAGUUGCUGCUGCAGACCCAUCAGAUUCCCUACUGGUAACAGCUGGAGUGCGUCACCUCUGACAAAAUUCUGGGGACGCUGGGGACCCUGAAUCACCAUGGGCAAUGAGAACAGCACCUCGGACAACCAGAGGACUUUAUCAGCUCAGACUCCAAGGUCCGCGCAGCCACCCGGGAACAGUCAGAAUAUAAAAAGGAAGCAGCAGGACACGCCCGGAAGCCCUGACCAGAGAGACGCGUCCAGGUAGGAGGCCAGCUCUGGAGGACUGCUGCAGCCCAAGGACUGCCCCGCUCAUUGCCUGCUCCAGCAUUAGCUUUGCCCCAUUUGCUUUGGAAACUGGACCCUUAGACACAUGAUAUCGUCCUCAGUGGUGAGAUGUUCCAAGCAGUGGUUCACAGACCUCUCUGUGACUGGCUAAGCCUGCAUGAUUGAAAAAUUCAUACUGAUUGCCUGCCCAAAGAUGAAAUUAGUAAUUAUAGACUUCCAUUCCAGCCACACUCCAGAGUAUCUUCAUUGUCAGAACUUAAAAUGGAAAACAUCAAGGGUUCCCAGGGGUUUAUCAGUGUUUAAUCUGUGGCUAAGUGGAGUCUGUAUCUCAGUGUGGUGGCCAUUGCGGGCACUGGACCAUGAAACAGAGGACUGAGAACACAAUUACCAAAGCCACCCAAGCCCUUUGUCCCAGGGAGGCUGGUGGAUGAAUCCCAGAAACCAACUGUGGCAGUGGGAUGUGGCCAGUGCGGGGGUGGCCCAUCAGUCACUUCCUUUUUUUUGAGAUGGAGUCUCGUCCAGGUUGGAGUGCAGUGGCAUGGUCUCGGCUCACUGCAACCUCUGCCUCCUGGGUUCAAGCGAUUCUCCUGCUUCAGCCUUCCAAAUAGCUGGGAUUACAGGCUCCCGCCACCAUGCCCAGCCAUUUUUUGUAUUUUUAGUAGAGACGGGAUUUCACCAUAUUGGCCAGGCUGGUGUCUAACUCCUGACCUCAGGUGAUCCACUCGCCUCAGCUUCCCAAAGUUCUGGGUUAUAGGUGUGAGCCACCACGCCUGGCUGGUCACUGGCUCUUGUUAUGAGCCACAGCCAGGCCCUAGGGCUCCCUGCCAGGGUUCUCUCCUGGGCCCCUCCCCAUGUUGGCCCCACACAUAGUUUUAGGGGAUGCAAGCAGUAGUCCAGCAGACUCGAGCACCUGGUGUCCAGCAUGGACACAGGCCAGGCACGCUGGGGGCACUUAAUAACCGCUUGUGGGUUCAACUCACAAACAGGCCGUGGAUUUGGUCAGAAAAACCCUGAACAAUUGGAGCCCAGCUCCCAGGAGUGUAUCAUGACAGGCCUUAAGGGAAACAAAUGAACAGGAACUCUAUGGAACAAAAAUGCAAAAUUGAAGGAUAGGCCCCCAUCAUAGACAAUGCAACUUUGGCUCACAUGCUACUUCAUACCUUUGCAAAGCCUUGAGACUCAAAGUGACUUUUUUUUUUUUGCUUUGGGUAAGUCAGAGCAACCCCUGGUGGCAGGAAUUUUCAUGCCUGGGCCACGGAAGUGGGUGGCUUGGGCUAUGUGGCUUUCCAGAGGAAGUACUUGGGGCAUCUUGGCAGGAGUUUUGGAUUUCUUUAGGGAAACGGCAAUCAGAUGGGGCAGAGUGUUUUUUGCUGAGGGAAUCAGAAUGAUGCCUCAAACAGCACCUUUGAUCUCUAUCCUCUGCUGAAGAUGGUGCUUCCUCUACUUCCCCAGACCCCCGUGUCUGUUCCAUUUCCAUGAACUUUUCAUCAGGGUCACAGGACAAAGGUUUCAGUCUUUGGUUCUAAUGAGACCUCUGACUUGGCUCUGGGUGACUAUGAAAUUAGUGAAUGGAUUUGUCUUUUCUGGAAUCCCACACAAGGGAAGCCACUCUGGCUGAGGCCCAGGAUCCAGCUCUUCUCUUUCCCUCUUGGUGAGGUCCUGGGUUCUCCUGAGGCCUGGGAAUUGCUCGAGGCCUGUGUCACAGCUGGACUGAAGAGUAGCAGCAGUUCAAAUGUCUUUUGUUGCUUGUUCCCCAGCUUUAGUCAAUUAUUAUUUUGCCCUUGAAGAAUUGCCUCUCGUUGGCAUGCAAAUUGAGCAUAAAAGAGGUGCCCGUAAUCCGAGCACUUUGGGAGGCCGAGGUGGGUGGAUCACGAGGUCAGGAGAUCCAGACCACCCUGGCCAACGUGGUGAAACCCCGUCUCUACUAAAAAUACAAAAAUUAGCCAGGCAUGGUGGCAUGUGCCUGUAGUCCCAGCUACCCAGGAGGCUGAGGCAGGAGAAUCGCUUGAACUCAGGAGGUGGAGGUUGCAGUGAGCCGAGAUCUCACCACUGCACUCCCGCCUGGGUGACAGAGUGAGACUAUGCCUCAAAAAAAAAAA